GACAGCGUCCGCCAGUUCGUCAGGAACUUCCGGCAGAGCGGGCUGCCCCUCGACGUCCUCGUGUGCAACGCAGCCGUCUACUUCCCCACCGCCAAAGAGCCGACCUACACCGCCGACGGCUUUGAGAUGAGCGUCGGAGUCAACCACCUCGGCCACUUCCUCCUCGCCCGAGAACUCCUCGAGGACCUCAAGGCAUCGGAUUACCCCUCCCGACGUCUCAUCAUCGUCGGCUCGAUCACAGGUACGACCUGAACCCGAUACAUUCCUUGGAUCGAGGCGCAUCGCUAACUCGAGCUUCUCCGUGUGUGCUUGCCGGUGCCCAGGGAACACCAACACCUUGGCCGGGAACAUACCCCCGAAAGCAAACCUGGGAGACCUGCGAGGGCUCGCGGGGGGAUUGAAUGGGCUCGGCGGCUCCACCAUGAUCGACGGAGGCGAGUUCGACGGCGCCAAGGCGUACAAGGACAGCAAGGUCUGCAAC
This 481-nucleotide long non-coding RNA is filed under the name Musa acuminata (dwarf banana). Its description in RNAcentral is "long non-coding RNA (MACU_LNC006349)". Lineage: Eukaryota; Viridiplantae; Streptophyta; Magnoliopsida; Zingiberales; Musaceae. The record is from RNAcentral.